GAACUCGUCUCUUGAAGAGACGAGUUUCCUUGAAUAAUUGUCUUUUUUUAAUUUGAGAAUUUUUUUAAAAUUAUAUAUAUAUUUUUUUUCAUGGAACUCGUCUCUUCAAGAGACGAGUUCCCUUUUUUAAAAAAUUUUACCCGUUCACCCUCUCUCCUCUCUCCUCUCUCCUAUCUCCUCUCUCCUCUCUCUCACCCUCUCUCCUCUCUCCUCUCUCCUAUGUGGCAAAAACUACCCUAUAUUUGUAAUAACUUCUUCCACUACAGUAAUUUAAGAAUAACUUUUUUAAAUUACUGUACUAUUGAGAAAAAUCCUUCAUUAGUGUGUGGUUUGGAUGCAUUCUGGUGACAGGAUAAGAUGGAAUAAAAAUCCCCAUGAAUGAACCAAGCCAAGGGUAUCAUACCAAACUUCUAAUCUAGACUAUUGAAUAAUGAUACUGACAAAUAAAACCAAGGUAUAAACAAAUAUUAUCAACCUAAAAAAAAAUAGGACUAACAUAACAAAGCAAUGGAAUCAAAGAUCUAAAGCAACGAGACCAUAUAAGAAAUGGCCCAUAUAUAUAAAAUUAUGAUAUCUGUCUCUUCAACUUUGCCUAACAUACCCAUCAUGCUGACACAACAUGAUAAGGAUAUGCAUAAGAACGAAAAGGAAGAACUUUUAAUCAACCACAUGUUAUCUUUUUCCUUGUAAUUGAUUGUUUCUCUGGUUAGUCAUAUCUGAUUACCAUUCAAGAUUAUUUUUCAAAUGACCAGGCAUUUUAAAAAUUGAAUAUCAGACGGUAGAUAACAGGAGUUUAAGUCCAAAAUAAUCUAUUGGUAGAAAAAAAAUUGUAAGAAUAGUACUCAUUUCAAAAUAUUUGUCAAAGUAAUCUUUUGUAUCCACAUAAGCAUCCAUAUGGAUUUUUUUUUUUAGUAUAAAAAACCAUCGUUGGUAAGUCUGGUUUUAAAAGUUUUAGAAAUAUCAUUAAAACCAUAAUCUAUGACUGUGAUUUCAAAAUUAUUUUUAAUCCAUCCCUAUUUUAAUGGUAUUGUGAAUUUAAUAUUAUUUUUAAAAUAUUCUUUAUCAUAAUAAUCAUAAAACCACAGUUAGUAACUGUGGUUUUAAAAAUAUCCUAAAAAUUAUAGUUACGGACUGUGGUUCACAAAUAUCUUUAAGGGGAAUUCAUAUAACCAUACAUCAACUAAAAAAAUAUGAGAUUUUAGAAUUUUGUUUUUUUAUUUUUAAUUUUAAUGUAAAUUAUGGAUGUACCAAAAUUUCUUAACGAUGUACCAAAUUUUCUUAAAGUUCGUUUCAAAAUUGAGAAAAUUUCUUACAAUUUUCCAUUGUCAGUUUAAAACUAUUUUCUUUACAAAUUAUCCUUAAUAAAUUUUUUCUUUACGAUUGUUUUAAAAUUAUAUAUAUAUAUAUAUUUCAUAUUUUCCUUGAAAUUUUGAUAAAAUAAUUUCAUUUACAUGCAUUCCCAUAAAAAUUUAUAUAUUUAUUUGUUUUAUGAAUUUUAUCACAUAUGAAUUAAAGAAAAUUAUUUUUUCAUAUUAUUUUUAAAUUUUAAAAUAACUAAGCAAAUUGUUUAUAUUAUUUAAAAUUUUAUAUUUUCAUAUAAAAAAUAAUGUCGAUGAUUAUGAUUUUAAGUUAUUCCUUACUAAUUGUGGUUUUAUGGAUAUUAUGAUAAAAAAUAUUUUACCAUUAAAAUGGGGGUGGAUUAAAAAUAAUUUUGAAAUCAUAUUUACUAAUUGUGAUUCUAAGAAAAAUUGUAAAACUACCAUUGGUGUGACUGUGGUUUUAAAGAUAUUUCUGAAACUAUAAAACCAUAGUUAGCAAUGGUGGUUUUUUACACUUAAAAAAUAACUAUGUGAAUGUUUACGUAAAUACAAAAUAUUACUUUGACAACUAUUCUUAUUUUGGACUGAAACUCAGAUCCCAAACACUGCACAAAUGUCACAUCAGGUAUACUAAUAUGGGUAUUGAUGUGUGGCCUAUAUUUGAUAGAAAGAGAUGAUACAAAAGAUGCAAAAGAUAUGGUGAACAGUGCAAAAGGCUGGAAAAUCCAGCAAAUUUUUUCCCCAUACCUGGUAGUAGUGUUGAUCAAUUCCACAAGCAUUUGCAGCUCUGAUGGCUUCAAUUGGCUACCCUGAAAUCCUCUUGGCAGUCAUUUGCUUUCUCCUCCUUCAUCGACUAAGCAACAGCAACAUGCUUCCCUGGAACUGGCCACUUGUUGGAAUGCUUCCAUGGAUUUUUCGCAACAUUCAGCAGAUUCAGGACAGAUGUACUGAAGUUCUAGAGCAAAGCAGCGGCACUUUCCUACUGAAAGGACCUUGGUUUGCUAACAUGGACAUGCUGAUCACCAGUGAUCCUGCCAACGUGCAUUAUAUAAUGAGCACUAAUUUCUCUAAUUUUCCCAAGGGGCCUGAGUUCUUGAAGAUUUUUGAUGUUUUGGGAGAGGGGAUUUUCAAUUCUGACUCGGAUUUAUGGAGGAAACAAAGAAAACUGGCUCAAGUGUUGAUCAAUGACCGGCAGUUCCAGCAGUUCCUGGUGAAGACUACCGAGAAUAAGGUGGAUGAAGGACUAAUUCCAGUUCUUGAGCAUGUGUCCAAGCAGGGUCUGUUGGUGGACUUGCAAGAUUUGUUCCAGAGGUUUACAUUUGAUACCACCUGCAAAUUGAUCACUGGCUUCGACACCAAAUGUCUCUCCAUUGAAUUCCCAAGAGUCCUAUUCGCAAAGGCCAUGGAUGAUGUUGAAGAAGCCAUAUUUUUCCGGCAUGUUGUACCUGAAAGUCUCUGGAAAUUACAAAGGUGGCUGGGGAUUGGAGAAGAGAAGAAGUUAAGCAAAGGUUGGGAAACCAUAGAUAAUGUUAUAGCUGAAUAUAUAUCAAUGAAACAUGAAGAACUAAGCAAAGGAAUUGCCAAAUUGCAAGAAGAUGAAGAGGGCACCGAUCUUUUAACAUCAUACAUGAAUGAAGACAGUACCAUGGAGUUGAAAUCCAAUAAGUUUUUGAGAGACACCAUUGUGAAUUUCCUGCUCGCAGGGCGAGACACUACUAGUGCAGCUCUCACCUGGUUUUUCUGGCUUGUUUCAAAGAAUCCAUUAGUGGAAGCCAAGAUUAGAGAAGAACUCAAAGAAACCAUACCAGAGAAAGAUCAGAAAUGGCAUAUCUUCAGAACAGAAGAGCUAAAUAAACUAGUAUAUCUCCAUGGUGCGUUGUGUGAAACAUUAAGGCUCUACCCACCUGUUCCAUUCCAGCACAAAGCCCCUCAUCAAGCAGAUGUCCUACCGAGUGGCCACAGGGUUCAUCCAAAGAUGAAGAUCUUAUUUUCCUUGUAUGCAAUGGGCAGAAUGACAACAAUAUGGGGAAAAGAUUGCUUUGAGUUCAAGCCAGAGAGAUGGAUCACAGAGCAAGGAGGUAUUAAGUAUGAGCCAUCUUACAAGUUCUUUGCAUUCAAUGCCGGUCCAAGGACUUGUCUAGGGAAGGGGGUAGCUUUCACUCAAAUGAAGGCAGUUGCAGCUGCUAUAAUCCAUAAUUACAAUGUUCAACUGGUGCAAGGUCAUCCUGUGGCUCCUAAUGUUUCAAUUAUUCUUCACAUGAAGCAUGAAUUAAUGGUUAGAGUUACCAAGAGAUGGUGAUGAAUUGACAAUAUUGCAGGGUGCAUGGUGAGUCUCACCUGAAUGGCUUCAUUUAUCAAACUGGUUCUUAUCUGUAGAAGGCUAGCCACAAGGGACGAUGCAGUAUCAAGAGUUUGAAGAGUGGAGCAGAGUGAAAGGCGAGAGAGGGCCAGAAAGGGUGGUAGUGGAAUAAAGAAAAGAGACCAAUAGAGCAGGAAAUUCUGUUUUUUGCAGCAAAAUUAGAUUUAUCUACAAUAUCUACGAUGUGAAUCCUGAAGUUGAGUUAUGUUUCAUCCAAUUCCAGCUUCUCAUCACUUCUUAUGUUGACCCCA
RNA transcript from Vitis vinifera (wine grape), 3929 nucleotides. It is a transcript of the gene named alkane hydroxylase MAH1, with no coding region annotated. Lineage: Eukaryota; Viridiplantae; Streptophyta; Magnoliopsida; Vitales; Vitaceae. The record is from RefSeq and is a predicted model, not a curated record. The transcript is spliced from 2 exons.